AUAAGGCACGUGUGCAUGAAUGUGACACAGCAAAGACGAGGGCAGAGCUAAACAAAACUGGAACACAUACAGUAUGAGAAAGGAGGGAGACAAAAGAAAGUAGGAAGCAGGGUGAACCACUGGAGAGAAUGGUGCCCAGAAUAGGGGCCCAGCUGAUGCAAGCAGAGGAAGUUGAAAACAGUCAUCGUGAAGAAACAGCAGAGUGAGCGCAGGACCAUGCUGGGAAGAAAGGGGCAUCCUGAAAGGCUCGCUGAUGAGGCUGUUACAGUAGCGAUCCACCCGGAUCACGUGAAGUUGCGUCGCCUAAAUUGUGCACCGAGAAUGUCUCUUGGGAGUUGUUUCCCUCUGGCUUUGUCAAAGUACCUGCUUCAUAAGGCCUGCCUCCUUGGAGCCUGGGACACGUCUGACCACCCAGAUCGUCCUCUAUGACACAGCUGUCCACUGAACCUCUGCUCGGACCUCCCCCGAUGAACCGCUCCCAUCUCCUUCCUUACUGGCUUCCCCUGACGACCCACGGAUGUCCCUGCAGUCACAGGCCUUUUGCUGGGGGCUGAGCAAGGACAGCAUCGUUCGUUCUGACUCCCCCAUCCAUCCGUCUCUCUGAAUCUGCUAAAACUUUCUUAGUCGCUCUCUAACCAUGACUCAUCUCACCAAGCAAAACGGGUGAAGCCAUGUUACCAAUUAUGUUGUCAUUUUAAGUUUACAACCCACGGAACACUUAUUCACCGGCGGAUGUCGAUGGCUACGCACGUUGAUUUAAACCCCCUUUUCCAAUUAUGUCAUUAUGGGAAUAACUGGACACAUUUUCAAUCUUAAUUAUCUUUUUAUGCUAUACCAUAGGCCAUAGGAGAGGGAUGACAGCUUUCUUUGGACUGACACCCUAGCUCGUACACAGGGUUCAAGUCACAUGAGCUGAGAUCAGUUUUAAGUUCAAAGAAUAUAUGUUUUAACUUCCUGAGGAAGCAGAGAACAUGAUUUUACCAAGUUGCCAUGUUAAUCAAACAGAGACACAGCCUUGAAGGGGAGCGAGUUCACAAUCAGAGCUCAGGCAGGUCAACAGUGUGUCCCAUGAGAACGGUGGCCAUCAGGGGUGCGCCAUUGCUUUCAGAACCUGCGUCAUUAAAAAUACAUCUUCUCUUCUUCUCAAGUGUUCCCCUUGGUUGCUCAAAAUUUCUUCACAGAAGAAAUAGAAGAAAAAGUAAUACAUAGCACACGAAAUCAAAGAACCAGGGUUUCGUUUAGAAGAAUGCAAAACUGUAUUUACUGUGAUUACGAUUCAGAAAAACUGGCAGCCUCCAAUUUCUUUUCUGCGAUUCAAUUAACCUUAUGCGUACCUUUCUGCUUUAAGGUGUUAAUUUUUUCCACUCAAGAGCAAACAAAAGGAGAAUGAAAUAAAUUACGAGAAUAUGAAAUGUAACUGAUUAAAAGAAUGGACGAGACUGGCAUCUCUUCCUCGGGGAACAUUUAUUUUAGGGUCACCUUUCAAUUCCUCUAACUGCUGUCUUCAGAAGGACUUGAAUUAAUUCUGGAUAUUAUUUUCAUUUUUUUGAAGAAAUUGGCUCACGUUUCUCACAAUCAAGGAGUUGGAACUUGCUUUUGCAUAAGAUAUGAGUGUUGCAUCUGGAAAAGAACUGCCCCAUCUCCCAAAUAAUUAGGAUAAGUUCAAGUAGAUUGUAAGUAACAGACGCUUCAAUACCCCUCACGCUUACAAGGAAAUCUUCAGAUAGAACAGUAAUACACAGUCUGCAGCCAAGGUGGUUCAAGGUCAGUUUCUCCUUCCAGACGCAUCUGCAGAUACUCAGCAUCUCCCCACCACUGGACCCUCUACAAAAAGCACAUCUAGAGAUACACAAGCUGUGGAUGAAAUGCAGCGGGUUUGCUAGGGGCACGUGUUUUAUAACAUGCACGUGUAACUGAUGGAGUUGGGACCGAUCAGGUGUGAAUAUAACGUAAAAGCUGCAGCGGGCGUGGACCCAUGUCUCCGGCACACAAGGGUUCUAAGUCACGACACUGAACACAAAAGGCUAACACAAGUGAGCAGGGCAGGACGCAGAGGCGCGCUCUUCUAUAAACAAUGCCCUGUGACCACACGCUGUCCCUCUUGGUCCCGUUUGGUCACAUGUUCCGUCUUGAAAGUGUCUGUUGCAUGCGUCUCCAGAUCUUUGUCAAAAGAAACAAGCGCAGACAGUGGUCCAGAACAGCCGCUGCUGGCAUCGCUGCGUUUGCCUGUAACCAUCCACCUCUGUCCUCGUCUCCAAGGCCAGGCACCCCCACCCGUCCUCCCCUGGUCUGUCAUCAAGCCGCCUUUGCCUUCCUCUUGAUUAAAGUUCUGUGUGUGCCGCAGCUUACUUUAUCUAUUAGGAAUUUCAUAUGCCCUUUCUGUGCAAGGAUCUUUAAUUAGGUUUUUUUUUUUUUUUGCUUAGUGUU
Orcinus orca (killer whale) is the source of this 2427-nucleotide long non-coding RNA. RefSeq lists it as uncharacterized. The record is from RefSeq and is a predicted model, not a curated record. NCBI's taxonomy places the organism in Eukaryota, Metazoa, Chordata, Mammalia, Artiodactyla, Delphinidae. The transcript is spliced from 3 exons.